RNAcentral lists this ribosomal RNA (759 nucleotides) under Cryobacterium arcticum. RNAcentral describes it as "bacterial SSU rRNA". It matches the Rfam family "Bacterial small subunit ribosomal RNA", at positions 94 to 865 of the family's 1533-position model. Lineage: Bacteria; Bacillati; Actinomycetota; Actinomycetes; Micrococcales; Microbacteriaceae. The record is from RNAcentral.
AGUGGCGAACGGGUGAGUAACACGUGAGUAACCUGCCCCCGACUCUGGGAUAAGCACUGGAAACGGUGUCUAAUACCGGAUACGAGCUUCAGCCGCAUGGCUAGGAGUUGGAAAGAAUUUCGGUUGGGGAUGGACUCGCGGCCUAUCAGCUAGUUGGUGAGGUAAUGGCUCACCAAGGCGACGACGGGUAGCCGGCCUGAGAGGGUGACCGGCCACACUGGGACUGAGACACGGCCCAGACUCCUACGGGAGGCAGCAGUGGGGAAUAUUGCACAAUGGGCGCAAGCCUGAUGCAGCAACGCCGCGUGAGGGACGACGGCCUUCGGGUUGUAAACCUCUUUUAGUAGGGAAGAAGCGAAAGUGACGGUACCUGCAGAAAAAGCACCGGCUAACUACGUGCCAGCAGCCGCGGUAAUACGUAGGGUGCAAGCGUUGUCCGGAAUUAUUGGGCGUAAAGAGCUCGUAGGCGGUUUGUCGCGUCUGCUGUGAAAACCCGAGGCUCAACCUCGGGCCUGCAGUGGGUACGGGCAGACUAGAGUGCGGUAGGGGAGAUUGGAAUUCCUGGUGUAGCGGUGGAAUGCGCAGAUAUCAGGAGGAACACCAAUGGCGAAGGCAGAUCUCUGGGCCGUAACUGACGCUGAGGAGCGAAAGCAUGGGGAGCGAACAGGAUUAGAUACCCUGGUAGUCCAUGCCGUAAACGUUGGGAACUAGAUGUGGGGACCAUUCCACGGUCUCCGUGUCGCAGCUAACGCAUUAAGU